Pseudoliparis swirei is the source of this 611-nucleotide long non-coding RNA. RefSeq lists it as uncharacterized. NCBI's taxonomy places the organism in Eukaryota, Metazoa, Chordata, Actinopteri, Perciformes, Liparidae. The record is from RefSeq and is a predicted model, not a curated record. The transcript is spliced from 2 exons.
UGCAGACCAGUAUGUCGGCUUUAGAAAGCAGAAUAAAGAAUCUAAAAUGGUUUACCUUUGGAAAGAACUUCAAAGAAAAAGUACAGGGAGCAACAGGAAAUUACCCCACCCCCCCUCAACAAAAAAAACACGCUCCAACAACACUCCUCCUCCGUUUAAAGUGGGCUGCGUAUGCUCCGGAAACUUCAAGUAAAAGUUCUACAGCGCCGGAAAAAGUUUUGAAAUAAGCGGCUGUUGUGUCUUUUCUUGUCGUUCAGCUCCACUGAGUCUUUAUGAAGUCUUCAACGCCAGCUCUCUGUCCAUUAAGAAGUCCUCCUCCUCCCAUGGCUCUGCCCCGGGCUCCACCAUUGUCAAGUCCCUCGAGAUUCAAGUCGUAUCCGGUCCGCUUUUCAGAAUAAAGCUCUGAGGUUUUUUUCUUUUUUUAAUUUGGGUUACCUCUCACGCUUCAGUUGUGGAAAGUUACUUUCAGUACUGUAGCCUACCAAAUAAAUAUUUUAAUAUUUCCAUGAUAUGCAACCUUUUAACAUCUACGUUAUGUAUUUCAUCGUGGUUAACUUUGCAGAAUAAGACGCACAUAGUUUACCCAACAAUAAAAAAGUAGAACAUCUACA